RNAcentral lists this long non-coding RNA (697 nucleotides) under Homo sapiens (human). RNAcentral describes it as "HSALNT0247792". Lineage: Eukaryota; Metazoa; Chordata; Mammalia; Primates; Hominidae. The record is from RNAcentral.
GCCCUGCCAGCCGCAGCCAUCUCGGCGGGCGCGCCGCUCGCAGCCAGCGCCCCAUCCCCAGGCCUGCACGUACGUCGUCGGCGAUCCGGGGCCGGGGGCGGCUCCGAGGUCGUCGGGGCCGGGGUCCCACCUCCUCUUGGAGGAAGCGCCGCCUCCCCACCCGCCCGGGGCCCUCGCCAAGUGGCUGCUAACAAAGCCCAGGGCCCGGCUGCGGGAUGGUUGACUGACAAAGUCAUGCCUGCCUAGCCAGCUUCCUCGUGCAGCACGGUGAAGGCUGGGGCGCCGGGUUUUUACUCCCACGUCCUGCCAACUCGAGCUGACAAGGCGGGCAAUCCACCAGCGGGAGCGUUGGCAGGCCCGGGGUCAGAUCCUGAUUCAGCCAGUUAAUUGCUCGUGGAUGGCAGAGCUGUGUGUUGUCCGUGGUCAGACACACAGGAAGUCUGAAUUGUUAUCCUGUUCUGCCACUGAAAUGUGUAAAAUAUAGGGGGAGUGUCCCAAGUCAUUUUCCUAAAAGCAUCAUCCAACUAUGAGCUGAACACUGCCCCGAGAAUGCAACAGAACUUCAGCUCUGUCCCAAGGUCGUCAGCCACAGCUCCAAGUUUCUUAGCAUCAGCUUUUUCUGAACAAAAUAGUGCAUCCUGCUGGAAUCACUACUGUAAACUGAGUAUAAAGGAAAAUAAACCCUCUUUUUCUUAUC